GUAAGUGCCGCGCCGGAACGCCACACGCGCGCCGGACGGCUUGGGGUGAAGUCGCCGCGAGUGCACCUCGUCACAGCACUCGCGCAGGCGACCGGGCAACUCCAGCCCGAACCCGACAGCUCACCUCGCAGGCGUAGGAGAGGACCA
RNAcentral lists this small RNA (147 nucleotides) under Streptomycetaceae bacterium MP113-05. RNAcentral describes it as "c-di-AMP riboswitch aptamer (ydaO/yuaA leader)". It matches the Rfam family "c-di-AMP riboswitch aptamer (ydaO/yuaA leader)". Rfam says of the family: This family represents a conserved RNA structure found upstream of the ydaO and yuaA genes in Bacillus subtilis and related genes in other bacteria. The ydaO/yuaA element is thought to act as a genetic "off" switch for the ydaO and yuaA genes in its native state. It is believed that the element may be triggered during osmotic shock leading to activation of ydaO, a predicted amino acid transporter gene, and members of the yuaA-yubG operon which code for KtrA and KtrB K+ transporters. Lineage: Bacteria; Bacillati; Actinomycetota; Actinomycetes; Kitasatosporales; Streptomycetaceae. RNAcentral also lists the same sequence under 1 other name. The record is from Rfam by way of RNAcentral.